RNAcentral lists this ribosomal RNA (495 nucleotides) under uncultured bacterium. RNAcentral's name for it is "partial 16S ribosomal RNA". It matches the Rfam family "Bacterial small subunit ribosomal RNA", at positions 28 to 507 of the family's 1533-position model. The record is from RNAcentral.
GAUGAACGCUGGCGGCGUGCCUAAUACAUGCAAGUCGAACGCUGAAGGAGGAGCUUGCUCUUCUGGAUGAGUUGCGAACGGGUGAGUAACGCGUAGGUAACCUGCCUGGUAGCGGGGGAUAACUAUUGGAAACGAUAGCUAAUACCGCAUGACAACAGUUAUUGCAUGAUAACUGUUUAAAAGGGGCAACUGCUCCACUACCAGAUGGACCUGCGUUGUAUUAGCUAGUUGGUGAGGUAACGGCUCACCAAGGCGACGAUACAUAGCCGACCUGAGAGGGUGAUCGGCCACACUGGGACGGAGACACGGCCCAGACUCCUACGGGAGGCAGCAGUAGGGAAUCUUCGGCAAGGGACGGAAGUCUGACCGAGCAACGCCGCGUGAGUGAAGAAGGUUUUCGGAUCGUAAAGCUCGGUUGUAAGAGAAGAACGAGUGUGAGAGUGGAAAGUUCACACUGUGACGGUAUCUUACCAGAAAGGGACGGCUAACUACGUG